GACGAACGCUGGCGGCGUGCUUAACACAUGCAAGUCGAACGAUGAAGCCGGAGCUUGCUCUGGUGGAUUAGUGGCGAACGGGUGAGUAACACGUGAGUAACCUGCCCUUGACUCUGGGAUAACUGCGGGAAACUGUAGCUAAUACCGGAUACGACCCUCGGAGGCAUCUCCUGGGGGUGGAAAGAAUUUCGGUCAAGGAUGGACUCGCGGCCUAUCAGCUAGUUGGUGAAGUAAAGACUCACCAAGGCGACGACGGGUAGCCGGCCUGAGAGGGUGACCGGCCACACUGGGACUGAGACACGGCCCAGACUCCUACGGGAGGCAGCAGUGGGGAAUAUUGCACAAUGGGCGCAAGCCUGAUGCAGCAACGCCGCGUGAGGGAUGACGGCCUUCGGGUUGUAAACCUCUUUUAGCAGGGAAGAAGCGAAAGUGACGGUACCUGCAGAAAAAGCACCGGCUAACUACGUGCCAGCAGCCGCCGCGG
RNAcentral lists this ribosomal RNA (484 nucleotides) under uncultured bacterium. RNAcentral describes it as "partial 16S ribosomal RNA". It matches the Rfam family "Bacterial small subunit ribosomal RNA", at positions 28 to 523 of the family's 1533-position model. The record is from RNAcentral.